AACGAACGCUGGCGGCAGGCCUAACACAUGCAAGUCGAGCGGACCUUUCGGGGUCAGCGGCGGACGGGGGGGUAACGCGUGGUAAUAUGCCCUUCUCUACGGAAUACUCCUGGUAAACUGGGCUUAAUACCGUAUACGCCCUUUGGGGGAAAGAGUUAUCGGUGAAGGAUUAGCCCGCGUUGGAUUAGGUAGUUGGUGGGGUAAUGGCAUACCAAGCCGACGAUCCAUAGCUGGUGUGAUAGGAUGAUCAGCCACAAUGGGACUGAGACACGGCCCAGACUGCUACGCGACACAGCAGUAGGGAGUAUUAGACACUGGGGGCAACCGUGGUCACGCCAUGCCGCGUGUGUGAUGAAGGCCUUAGGGUUGUACAGCCCUUUCAGCUGGGAAGAUAAUGACGGUAACAGCAGAAGAAGCACCGGCUAACUACGUG
This 433-nucleotide ribosomal RNA is filed under the name uncultured bacterium. RNAcentral's name for it is "partial 16S ribosomal RNA". It matches the Rfam family "Bacterial small subunit ribosomal RNA", at positions 29 to 507 of the family's 1533-position model. The record is from RNAcentral.